This 431-nucleotide ribosomal RNA is filed under the name uncultured bacterium. RNAcentral describes it as "bacterial SSU rRNA". It matches the Rfam family "Bacterial small subunit ribosomal RNA", at positions 354 to 796 of the family's 1533-position model. The record is from RNAcentral.
GUGGGGAAUAUUGCGCUAAUGCGCGAAAGCGUGACGCAGCGACGCCGCGUGGGGGAUGAAGGCCCUCGGGUCGUAAACCCCUUUCGCCAGGGACGAAGGGAAACUGACGGUACCUGGAGAAGAAGUCCCGGCUAACUACGUGCCAGCAGCCGCGGUAACACGUAGGGGACGAGCGUUGUCCGGAAUUAUUGGGCGUAAAGCGCGCGUAGGCGGUCGUGCAAGUCGGAUGUGAAAAUCCCGGGCUCAACCCGGGACCUGCACCCGAUACUGCUCGACUCGAGGUAGGUAGGGGAGAUCGGAAUUCCUGGUGUAGCGGUGAAAUGCGCAGAUAUCAGGAGGAACACCGGUGGCGAAGGCGGAUCUCUGGGCCUUACCUGACGCUGAGGCGCGAAAGCUAGGGGAGCGAACAGGAUUAGAAACCCCAGUAGUCC